GGGAAUGUAGCUUAGUGGUAGAGUGCUUGCCUAGCAUGCAUGAAGCCCUGGGUUCGAUUCUUCAGCACCA
RNAcentral lists this transfer RNA (70 nucleotides) under Dipodomys ordii (Ord's kangaroo rat). It matches the Rfam family "tRNA". From Rfam's summary of the family: Transfer RNA (tRNA) molecules are approximately 80 nucleotides in length. Their secondary structure includes four short double-helical elements and three loops (D, anti-codon, and T loops). Further hydrogen bonds mediate the characteristic L-shaped molecular structure. tRNAs have two regions of fundamental functional importance: the anti-codon, which is responsible for specific mRNA codon recognition, and the 3' end, to which the tRNAs corresponding amino acid is attached (by aminoacyl-tRNA synthetases). tRNAs cope with the degeneracy of the genetic code in two manners: having more than one tRNA (with a specific anti-codon) for a particular amino acid; and 'wobble' base-pairing, i.e. permitting non-standard base-pairing at the 3rd anti-codon position. The record is from Rfam by way of RNAcentral. Lineage: Eukaryota; Metazoa; Chordata; Mammalia; Rodentia; Heteromyidae.